RNAcentral lists this ribosomal RNA (497 nucleotides) under uncultured bacterium. RNAcentral's name for it is "partial 16S ribosomal RNA". It matches the Rfam family "Bacterial small subunit ribosomal RNA", at positions 28 to 507 of the family's 1533-position model. The record is from RNAcentral.
GAUGAACGCUGGCGGCGUGCUUAAUACAUGCAAGUCGAGCGAACAGAUGAGGAGCUUGCUCCUCUGACGUUAGCGGCGGACGGGUGAGUAACACGUGGAUAACCUACCUAUAAGACUGGGAUAACUUCGGGAAACCGGAGCUAAUACCGGAUAAUAUAUUGAACCGCAUGGUUCAAUAGUGAAAGACGGUUUUGCUGUCACUUAUAGAUGGAUCCGCGCCGCAUUAGCUAGUUGGUAAGGUAACGGCUUACCCAGGCAACGAUGCGUAGGCGACCUGAGAGAGUGAUCGGCCGCACUGGAACUGAGACACGGUCCAGACUCCUACGAGAGGCAGCAGUAGGGAAUCUGCCGCAAUGGGCGAAAGCCUGACGGAGCAACGCCGCGUGAGUGAUGAAGGUCUUCGGAUCGUAAAACUCUGUUAUUAGGGAAGAACAAAUGUGUAAGUAACUAUGCACGUCUUGACGGUACCUAAUCAGAAAGCCACGGCUAACUACGUG